This 703-nucleotide long non-coding RNA is filed under the name Chinchilla lanigera (long-tailed chinchilla). RNAcentral describes it as "lncRNA (ENSCLAG00000023389.1)". The record is from RNAcentral. Lineage: Eukaryota; Metazoa; Chordata; Mammalia; Rodentia; Chinchillidae.
UGUCCAAGUGUGCUAGACAAAUGGCUAGGUAGGCAGGGCAUGGAAAAGAAAGAAUAAAGCAGUCUUACAAAAGGAACAGAACAGCCAGAUUCAGGUUGUGGUUGACAAGAAACCUGCUUUGCAGCCAAUUCUGGGAAGGAACUCCUUCUGGAGUCACACAACCAUUGGCAGAGACUUUAUCUCCUUUCUGAGCCCCACAGCCUCUGGGCUCAACUGUGGACAUUGGCAAGGAGCAGUGCUAGCUCCACAUGCCACCUGACUGCUCCCAUGAAGACACUCACAACCUCUGCUAGACUCACUACUGAAACUGAAGCCCAACUGAGGGAAGACGCCUCUAUGCAGCCUGCACUGCUCAGAAAUCGAUGGGAUUCAAAAGUACUUAAAUAGAGGGCUAUUUACUUCCUGAAGAAUGAAGAAGACAGUAGAGAUAAAGAUGGCACUGAAAAGAAAUAAGUUAUCAAGUUGUAAAAACGCAUGGAGAACCCAAAACUGCAUUUUACUAAGUGAAAGGAGGCUGGGAUGGAGAAGCUAAAAUGCUCAUCGGUUGUGGUGGAAAAGUAAAGGACGAAGGGAUGGAGGCAAAAGACAGAGCACUCUUAAGGAGGUAAUGCUACUCAAGAUGAUUUGAUAAUUGUGGCUACUAUCAUUAUACAUUUGUCAAGAUCGGCAGAAACUCACGUGAACUAGGGACUUGACUUUGGAU